GGCCUUGAGUAUAGUGGGCAUGAGGUGAGAAAAUGGGUAGGUGGUGAUAGAGAGAGGAAAGGUGGCGGGAACAAAAGAUGGGUAAGUGGGGUAUUUGGGCAUUUGCAUGGAGUGAAGGUGAGGGUUAUGAGUGGUGAGAUGAGUGGUAGAAGAUAGAGAGAGAAACAGUUUUGUGGGUAUUGAAAUAUGGGUAUGAAGACAAAGGUUAGGAAUGGCGGGACGAGAAGUAGAAGUUAGUGAGAGAAAAUGGGUAUGAUGGAU
RNAcentral lists this long non-coding RNA (261 nucleotides) under Vitis vinifera (wine grape). RNAcentral's name for it is "long non-coding RNA (VVIN_LNC003238)". The record is from RNAcentral. Lineage: Eukaryota; Viridiplantae; Streptophyta; Magnoliopsida; Vitales; Vitaceae.